RNAcentral lists this ribosomal RNA (448 nucleotides) under uncultured bacterium. RNAcentral's name for it is "partial 16S ribosomal RNA". It matches the Rfam family "Bacterial small subunit ribosomal RNA", at positions 330 to 793 of the family's 1533-position model. The record is from RNAcentral.
GCCAGACUCCUACGGGAGGCAGCAGUGGGGGAUAUUGCACAAUGGGGGAAACCCUGAUGCAGCGACGCCGCGUGAGCGAUGAAGUAUUUCGGUAUGUAAAGCCCUAUCGGCAGGGAAGAAGAAAUGACGGUACCUGAAUAAGAAGCACCGGCUAAAUACGUGCCAGCAGCCGCGGUAAUACGUAUGGUGCAAGCGUUAUCCGGAUUUACUGGGCGUAAAGGGAGCGCAGACGGCGCGCCAAGUCUGAUGUGAAACCCCGGGGCUCAACCCCGGGCAUGCAUUGGAAACUGGCGGGCUGGAGUGCCGGAGAGGUAAGCGGAAUUCCUAGUGUAGCGGUGAAAUGCGUAGAUAUUAGGAGGAACACCAGUGGCGAAGGCGGCUUACUGGACGGCAACUGACGCUGAGGCUCGAAAGCGUGGGGAGCAAACAGGAUUAGAUACCCCAGUAG